RNAcentral lists this ribosomal RNA (494 nucleotides) under uncultured bacterium. RNAcentral describes it as "partial 16S ribosomal RNA". It matches the Rfam family "Bacterial small subunit ribosomal RNA", at positions 28 to 507 of the family's 1533-position model. The record is from RNAcentral.
GACGAACGCUGGCGGCGUGCUUAACACAUGCAAGUCGAACGGUGAAGCGCCUUCCUUUUUGGUGGGUGUGGAUGAGUGGUGAACGGGUGAGUAACACGUGAGUAACCUGCCCCCUUCUUCUGGAUAACCGCAUGAAAGUGUGGCUAAUACGGGAUAUUCUGGGUCUGUCGCAUGAUGGGUCUGGGAAAGAUAUUGUUUCGGUGGGGGAUGGGCUCGCGGCCUAUCAGCUUGUUGGUGGGGUGAUGGCCUACCAAGGCGGUGACGGGUAGCCGGCCUGAGAGGGUGGACGGUCACACUGGGACGGAGACACGGCCCAGACUCCUACGGGAGGCAGCAGUGGGGAAUAUUGCACAAUGGGCGCAAGCCUGAUGCAGCGACGCCGCGUGAGGGAUGGAGGCCUGCGGGUUGUGAACCUCUUUCGCCAGUGAAGCAGGCCUGCCUCGUUUGUGGGUGGGUUGACGGUAGCUGGAGAAGAAGCGCCGGCUAACUACGUG